RNAcentral lists this ribosomal RNA (508 nucleotides) under uncultured organism. RNAcentral describes it as "SSU rRNA". It matches the Rfam family "Eukaryotic small subunit ribosomal RNA", at positions 569 to 1078 of the family's 1831-position model. The record is from RNAcentral.
AGCAGCCGCGGUAAUUCCAGCUCCAAUAGCGUAUAUUAAAGUUGUUGCAGUUAAAAAGCUCGUAGUUGAAUUUCGGGGCCAGUAGGUUGGUCGUGCCACUGGUAUGCACUGGCCUUACUGGUCCCUCCCUCUUGUAGAACCGUGAUGCCAUUAAUUUGGUGUUGCGGGGAAACAGGACUGUUACUUUGAAAAAAUUAGAGUGCUUAAAGCAGGCUCGCGCUUGAAUACAUUAGCGUGGAAUAACGGAAUAGGACGAUCGAACCUAUUUUGUUGGUUUCUAGGAUCGACGUAAUGAUUAAUAGGGAUAGUUGGGGGCAUUAGUAUUCAAUUGUCAGAGGUGAAAUUCUUGGAUUUAUUGAAGACUAACUACUGUGAAAGCAUUUGCCAAGGAUGUUUUCAUUAAUCAAGAACGAAAGUUAGGGGAUCGAAGACGAUCAGAUACCGUCGUAGUCUUAACCAUAAACUAUGCCGACUAGGGAUCGGAUGAAGUUAAUUUUUUAAUGACUCA